UUAUCAGUCAUGCAUAGCAUAUCAAUAAGCGGAGGAAAAGAAACUAACAAGGAUUCCCCUAGUAACGGCGAGUGAAGCGGGAAGAGCUCAAAUUUGAAAUCUUCAAGGGUUUCCCUUGACGAAUUGUAGUUUAAAGAAGUGUUUUCUGUUAGUGGAGUGGCAAAAGUUCUUUGGAAUAGGACAUCAUAGAGGGUGAGAAUCCCGCAUUUGGUCAUUCCUUCUAGCUUUGUGAUACACUUUCAAAGAGUCGGAUUGUUUGGGAAUGCAGUCCAAAAUGGGUGGUAAAUUUCAUCUAAAGCUAAAUAUUGGCGAGAGACCGAUAGCGAACAAGUACCGUGAGGGAAAGAUGAAAAGAACUUUGAAAAGAGAGUUAAACAGUACGUGAAAUUGUCAAAAGGGAAGCGUUUGACACCAGUGUUGUUUAGUUGAAAAUCAAUUCAAUAAUUUUUGAUUUUGAGUAGUAUUGACUUCAUCAGCUUGCUGCUUUCUUUUCAGAAAUUAUUGAAUGCACUUUUCAGUUAACAAGUCAACAUCAAUUUCUUUUGUUGUAAAAGGGUAAGAGGAAGGUGGCUUACGCUUCGGCGUAAGUGUUUAUAGCCUUUUACCUCUGCAAUCGGAGAGAUUGAGGACAGCAGCGUAGACUCUUCGGGGUUAGAUACACUUGUGCUAAGCUAUAGCCUUGUAUAGACAACUUGUUGACUAUGCUCAGUCAUGUAGCUUACUCGCUUAUGCUAUUUUACCUACGCUUAGGAUGUUGAUGUGAUACUGCGAGCA
This 774-nucleotide ribosomal RNA is filed under the name uncultured Neocallimastigales. RNAcentral's name for it is "partial large subunit ribosomal RNA". It matches the Rfam family "Eukaryotic large subunit ribosomal RNA", at positions 21 to 627 of the family's 3401-position model. Lineage: Eukaryota; Fungi; Neocallimastigomycota; Neocallimastigomycetes; Neocallimastigales. The record is from RNAcentral.